This is a long non-coding RNA of Gallus gallus (chicken), 2035 nucleotides long. NCBI's taxonomy places the organism in Eukaryota, Metazoa, Chordata, Aves, Galliformes, Phasianidae. The record is from Ensembl.
GUGGGGAAAAAAAUAAUGCUGCGUGUAGAAAUCUCUAAGCUUUCAUCCAUUUCUAGGAAACUGGAAUGGGAGGAGCAUUCCUCCUACUCCUGAAGACAUCUGCAGUGUGGGGAUAUAGGGAAACUACUGCAGUACAAGCAUGACUUUGGCAAAUUAAAGUUUGUCAGAAUCUCAGCAAACUUUCCACUGAUCUGGGUUCACUUAUGCUUUUGUUACAGUUCUGGGCUUCUUUCUGAUGUUUCCCUUUGGACGUGUACUUUAAAACUAUUUCAUGAACUUGAGAUGCUUGAUUGUCCGCACAGUCUCAAGAGUAAGCAAGAUAUUUCUUUCUAUGGUCGUCUUCUUCCUCCUCCUCCUGCCUCGUUUUCAACUCAGCAUCUGGCAAAGAUGGACAAACUCUGGGACGUAAAAAUUCCCUUAACUGAAAAUUCCUGGGGAGCUCUCAGUCCUCAGCUGGUAUGAAUGACACUAGUCCCACACUUCUGAGCUACAGUUCAAGGAGGCCUGCAGGAGACAGAGAAGUUCCACUGCAUCUGGCAAUACAACCUGCAUCCUCAAAUCUGCCUUCAAAGCUGUAAAUGCUAGGAACAAACUUUUAUCCAUGUAUCUGUCCUGUUGUUACAGUCAUCCGUGGUGGUUUACCUAAGGACAUGGAAGCUAGCUUCUGGCAACACAGAUCCCUGCUGACAAAGGAGGCAUGUUCCAUCUCCCAGGUACCCAAAGCUGCUCUAGUAGAAGACGUCAGAAUCCAAAAUCUUCUGAUUCCUGACAAGUACCUCCUUUUGGUUGAAGUUGGCAAAAUGAAAGCAAAGGCUGGUCAGCACAUUUUCCAUCAUAAUCUAAGACUACGCAGAUGGAUCACAAAGAACUUCAGCAGUCAACACUACAUGCUUUAACGCGGACUAAAGCAAACUCAAGAUAAGCUUCAUCAAUAGCUAGAAGUGAACUUAAAAACAAAAAUGUUCAAAGCCAUUACGAAAUGAAAGCUACCUGUGAGGUACUGUGACACUAGAAGCUCCCAGGCUGAAUGAAAUAUGAAACUUGCUGGAAGAGUACAACACAGGUAGGAGUCAAAAAGCUUUUCACCUAAUUUUGUCUCUUACACACUGGAAUGACUCCAGUGUAACUUUUAUACUUCUUGUGCCUUUGUUUCCACAUCUGUAAUUCAGGUUACAUGCACCUUGCAACAGUUAUCCCACAAGGAUACAGAAAAGCUGAGAUGUUUUUUGAGAUCCAAGGGGAGGUUCAAGAAUUACAAUUAUAAAAAGCACAAGCACUUAGCGCUAACACCUCCAAACAGUAUCUCAAGUACAGGAAGGAUGGCCCCCAGACACAAGCCCUCAGAGCUGGACCUGAAGCAACAUGCUCUCAAGCUUCGUGAAGCCCGGAACCUCUCUCUGCUUCCAGCAGUGUGCAAAGACACCCUGCAGUACUAGGCUAUUAAUCAAUGCCUAAAGGCAAAACAAAAAGCUGUGUUCAGACUUCACACAGCUGCAACUUCUUCCACCUAAACCCCAGAGGUCCGAAAAUCUCUUUGAUUAGUAGGAACAAGUGUUCCACGAGUAACUAAUCCACAGAGGAGUAAGUGCGAGAGCAUCAAAGUGUCCAUAAACACUCAAAUUGCUCAGCACAGCUAGGCAUUCAGCCUUUAAAAAUGCAGCCUCACUGAGAAACUAUGCACCAUGAACAAACCAGUCACCAAGUACACCAAAGGCGAGGCAAAGAAACACAUCACUGAAACACUAUUUUGUGUUCCCACCAGUUUAACUCAUCUUCAUACAAAGACAGUAUGAAACAUAAGGUACUUUGGUUACCAUUAAAAAAGCAACACUUUAAUAUAAAACAUUAAGAAAUGGUGUCCUUAAGCUAGAUCAGGAGUCUCGUAUCCUUAAAGACUGUGUUAAGUGUGAAGCUGUCAGUAGCAUUAGUAUUCACUAACGACAAGAGGAAUUUUGUCCCAUUUAUAACAAGCUGUUAUGCUUUCCCUAUCUGUGAAAAGCCAGUGCAGUCAAGCCAUGGGAAAUAUAAGAAAAUU